This is an RNA transcript of Belonocnema kinseyi, 3072 nucleotides long. RefSeq lists it as uncharacterized. Lineage: Eukaryota; Metazoa; Arthropoda; Insecta; Hymenoptera; Cynipidae. The record is from RefSeq and is a predicted model, not a curated record. The transcript is spliced from 7 exons.
AGUGUCAGUCGCCUUCCCCAUACUCGUCAAGCAAGUUCUAGUCAUCAGGGAUUGUCCAUAUAUUACGUAAGAAGUUUUUCUGUUGUUUUAAUAAAGACGAAAAUAAUAUUUUUAUCAAGUUGAAAAGGACACAGCGAUAUAAACAAAAGAAAAAUGUCUUACGUAAUAUAUGGACGAUACCUCAUCAACUCGGACAGUUCAGGAUACGUCAAUCAGUUCGGGUCAAUCAUUUAAACGAAGUUAAAAAUUCGCAUCAAUAGCAGUUUAAUCUCUAAUCAACUUACCCUUAGUUGAAUUACGCCCAGAUAUUCAGCUAAAAAUAAAAUCUUAAAAUACGAGCUCCAACAAACGCCUUCAUCUGAGCGGUGCUCAAAAAAGGAAAAUAGUUAGAGAAAGAAGCAGCUCUGAAAAAAAUGAUACCCAUAACCUCAUUUUUUACGCCGCAACAUGAGGAAAAGAAAGAACAAGAAUCUGAUGUCCGCCGUGAAGAAAGUGAUUUUUCUAGUAGCGAUUUGCAGCAGAAAGAAACACAAGCAGAUGUAACCGUUACACCACCGAACACUGACCCUGACAUUUUCAUCGCUACAGAAAAUUUGAAAGAGGAAAACAUGAGUUUCUCAUUGCUACAGACAAUUUGAAAGAGGAAAACAUGGCAGCUUGUAUGCUAAACAAUACUUUAGAACAGUCUGAUUUGCUAGAAAAAGCACAUCCUACUGAUAAAGGACAUUACAAAGGCGUUUUCACUGCAGAAUUGAAAAAAUUUACAAUCUCGCAUGGGCCGUGCCAACCGAAAGAAAAAUCUUUCCAAGAAAAAUCUUUCUGGUGCAAAGUUCUUGACAUCGCGAGGCCAUUGGUGAUUCUGGAAAUAAUGAAAACUUUUUAUCAAUCGUUGAAUUGCUGGCGGUAUAUGACCUUGUUUUGAAAGAACUCAACACGAAACCUGAUAAUUCCAUUCGAUACCUGAGCCCUAAAAUUCAAAAUGAAAUAAUUGGCCUCCUAUCUAGGACUAUGGAAAAUGAAAUCGUCAAAAAUAUCCAAGAAGCGCUAUUUUUUCCAUCAUAACGGAUACAACUCAAGAUAUAGCUAAAAUUGACCAAAUGAGACAAAUUUCUAGAUAUGUGAGAAUUAUCAAGGAUGAAAACGAAAAUCCAGUCGAUGUUAAAAUCAUCGAAUCUUUUUUGGGAUUUGAAAAGGUCGAUGAUCAAACAGCUUCUGGACUGGAAUCAAAAAUAGUUGAUGUACUGAAGAAAAAGAAAAUCGAACUUUCAAAAUGUCGAGAACAGGGAAACGAUGGAGCUACUACAAUGAGUGGAAUUUACAACGGUGUUCAGAAAAAAAUUCUUGAUAGAGAAGAAAAAGACAUUUAUGUCCAUAGACUCAAUCUUGUUCUCAAUGAUGUCUCGAUGGGUGCAAUACCUGAAGUCCAAAAAUUCUGGGAAUUAAUUGUAUUGUGAUAUUAUGAAGGCGCUGUCCAAAAUCAUCUUUAUAAGUAAUUCGACAACCGAGCGAAAUGAAACAACCUAUCUACGUAAAGAGAUGGAAAAUUUCGAAUUUUUUUUUCAAAUUGUUUUGCGCACAAAAGUUCUGACGACAACAAACCUGGUUACAAAGGCUCUUCAAAAGCCAGACGCUGAGCUUUCUCAAACAAAUGUUUUACUCAAGCAAGCGUAUCAAGAUCAAACUAAGUGCUGAUUGGAGAGUCAGGUUGAGUUUCAGAACAAGCGGAUCAAGGAAACCAAGAAAUGUUUCGAAGAAUUGUGUGAAGACGAAAGACUAUCUGAUGGAGAAGCACGAUUCCGGAAUCUGCGAAAAAACUUGUCCUGGAUAAAGAAAUACGCGUACUAGUUUGUUCUCAAGCAGACGACAAUGCAAACAGUGCAAGUAGACAAAUUGCUGAGGACCUGAGCUUCUGCAAACCUUCGGUCCAUGGAGCGCUACAUGAUGCUGGGUACAAAUCUUAUAAACUACGAAAUGGCUGAAUUUUCAAGCAGAUUGGUUUUGGCAAUCGCUACAAAAUGUCUGUGCUUCCUGUCGAAGAAAUUGAGCGAAAUCUUUUGCUACUGCCAAUCACUUUGUUUACCGAAGAAUGCUCCUUUGUUUUGGAUGAAGGCAAUACAACAGCGGAGAUAUAUAUGGAGAUGCUGCAUCAAGAAGUUGGACCGACAUUAGUUAAUAUAUUAGGUGAUUUUUUGGCAACAGGAUGAGGCUCCAGCACACACUGCACAUAGGGUCAGACAUAUGCUGAGCGAUAUUUCUCACCGCCAUAUUAAUUAAAAUUUUUUAUAUGGAGCUAUGUCAAGUCCAAACUCUAUCGCUUUGAGUGAAUUUUCAACCUGAAAGAGCAUAAACGUUUGAUUGUAGACAUAAUGGUAAAACAAAUCAAUAGGAAUAUUUACCAGCAAGAGAAUCAGCACCACACUGAAGUACAAUUGCUGAAGGUUGAUAUGAUACCAUCACAGCUUCCAUCACUGGCUCGAAAAUCUUUUGGUAACCAACAUCAUUUAUUCCUGUCAGAAGAGGAACGUUCACCGAAUAAUAUUUGCCCUGAAAUUAAUGAUUAAUAUUUCUUUUCUCAAACUUAUAUAGUGAAAAUAGAGAUAUUUUUAUAGAUGCCAUUAAGGCAUGUGGUGUUCAGAAAGAACUGUCGAUUUUCUUACCGUUUCAGAACCAACUUCAUCAACUGCACCAGUACCAGGAAAGUAAUUUCCAUAUUUGUGGAAGGAAACGGUCAUCACUCUAUCGGUUAAAUAAAAUGCUUGCUCGACUCCAUCGCCAUGAUGCACAUCAAUAUCUAUGUAUAAAACCCUUUUGUGAUAUUUGAGCAAUUCUAGAAUGGCUAAAACUAUAUCGUUUACGUAACAAAAUCCUGAAGCCUCGCCACAUUUUGCAUGAUGCAAGCCACCAGCCCAGUUUAUGCAUAUGUCCGACUUUUGUUUAUUCAGCUUUAUGGCCGCUGCUAUUGAACCACCAGCAGAUAUCUGGGAAAAUUCGUAUAUACCUUCGAAAACAGGGCAAUCCGUUCCUAUGUUGACUGUUGAAAUUUAGAUACAAUAUAUAAAGUUGCAUUAGAGA